UGGGGAAUAUUGGACAAUGGGCGAAAGCCUGAUCCAGCAAUACCGCGUGAGUGAUGAAGGUCUUAGGAUUGUAAAGCUCUUUUAGUGGGGAAGAUAAUGACGGUACCCACAGAAAAAGCACCGGCUAACUUCGUGCCAGCAGCCGCGGUAAUACGAAGGGUGCUAGCGUUGUUCGGAAUCACUGGGCGUAAAGCGUACGUAGGCGGCUUUGUAAGUCGAUUGUGAAAUCCCCAGGCUUAACUUGGGAACUGCAAUCGAAACUGCUUGGCUUGAAUAUGGUCGAGGGUAGUAGAAUUCCUAGUGUAGGGGUGAAAUCCGUAGAUAUUAGGAGGAAUACCGGUGGCGAAAGCGACUACCUAGGCCAUUAUUGACGCUGAGGUACGAAAGCGUGGGGAGCAAACAGG
Molecule: ribosomal RNA, 404 nt
Filed under: uncultured bacterium
Lineage: Bacteria
Description: bacterial SSU rRNA
Rfam family: Bacterial small subunit ribosomal RNA
Source: RNAcentral